Non-coding RNA from Gossypium hirsutum (cotton), 106 nucleotides. NCBI's taxonomy places the organism in Eukaryota, Viridiplantae, Streptophyta, Magnoliopsida, Malvales, Malvaceae. The record is from Rfam.
AACCUUUGUGAGGGCACCUUCUCAAAAGAUCCUUCAAUCUCUCUCAUGCAUUAUAUAAUGUCUCCAAAUCAAUUUGAGCAAAAGAAGAGGUAUCAUUCCUAAAGUU